Molecule: long non-coding RNA, 1452 nt
Filed under: Equus caballus (horse)
Lineage: Eukaryota; Metazoa; Chordata; Mammalia; Perissodactyla; Equidae
Description: lncRNA (ENSECAG00000051494.1)
Source: RNAcentral
GGAGAGCCGGGUAAGUGAGUGCAAGUCAUGUGGGGGCAACAUGGAGGGGUGGAGAUGGAAGGAUACUGGCAUGGAGGAGAUGAGACAGAGGGAUGCUGGCAUGGAGGAGAGGAGAUGGGAGGAUGCCGAGAGGUAAUACAGGACCUGGAUAUGCAUUGCUGUUGGGAUGGAGGAAUCCACCAAGCUGCUGGUUUCCCUCCAUGCAUGGAUCGCAAGGCCGUUUCCUGAGACAGGCACCGGCGCUGGGCCAGGUUGGUGAGGAAGGUCAGAAAAUCAGUUGUGAAUGUGUUGAGUUCUGGGGGCUGCAAGACCACCAAGCAGAAACAGCACAUGGGCAGUUGUACAUAUUCGGUUUGGGACUCAAAGGAGGGACUGUGACCACGGACGGAUUUGGGAGUCUCCGGGUGUAGGAGGGAGAUGCCCACCUGAGAAAGCAAGCUGAAUAUACAGAAGAGACAAUCCAGCAGGAAUGUUCCUGAACUAGUGGCAGGAGAGGAGACUCAAAAAAGAAAACAAAACUGGGUAGGAAUCAGGCGCUCCUCGUAUGCCAUCUCUAGCUGGCAGACGGACCCCCUGUGAGGACCCGUGUUGCUGUUGAGAAGAUCGUGGAUCCGUUCCAGCAAGUCACCAGAACUGGAAUUCAGCAGAAUUGAUUCCUGAUACUACCACUUCCUUCCUUCUCAAAAUUUUUUUAACUCGGGGGAAGUCCAGUCCAAAAUAGUAGUUCCCAUUUAUUGAGGACUUGUCCUGUACCGGUCUGUGCCAAUUAAGCAUAUUGUACACAGUUAGUCCUCAACUCUGCAAGGUAGAUGUUGCUGCUUUUUCUAGAGCUGGGGUUUCUCGACCUCAUCUCUUCACGUUUGGGGCUGGAUAGUCCUUUGUACGGGGGUGGGGGUGGGGUUGCUGUCCUCUAUGCACUGUCGGCUAUUUAGCUGCACCCUGGGCCUCCACCCCAUAGAUGCCAGUAGCAGCACCCCCUCCUCCCCAGUUGUGACAGCCGAAAAUGUCACCAGACAUUGCCAGAUGACCCUGGGGAGAGCCAAAUCGCUCCACUUGGGAACCGUGGCUCCAGAGCUGGGGAACAGAAGCCACCGCUUGCCUGAGGUCACAAAGCUGGCACACUGAGCCAGCCAGGAUCUGAAUACCAGGUCCUUUUUACCCCCAGGUAAAUGCUCUGAACCCCUAAGCUACUUCUCAUCCAGCUGCUUCUUUGUGUAUGUGCUCUUAAUAGCUUCACAGACACAGUUCACAAACAUUUUUAUGUGAAAAGUAAUACGUGAGUACAUGCUUGCUGAAAUAAAGUUCUAAAUCUCUCUCCCUUUAAUGUUGGCAGUUGGGCUGGUGUCUUUAUCUAUACCUGGAUCUGUGUACCUGCCUAGAUGUAUAGGGAGACAAAGAUGUGUACUUUUUUUAAAAGAUUUUAUUUUUUUCCUUUUUCUCCCCAGAACCCCC